CGGAGGACUGAGAAGGUGAGGCAGUUCUGAACCAUGCUGCCUUCCACUGGUUAAGACCUCCGAGAGCGAAGGCCUGCAGAGGCAGAGGAAGUCCCUCUGCCGCCCCCAGAGGGGCAGCACUGUGUUGGCCGACACUUG
Non-coding RNA from Bos taurus (domestic cattle), 138 nucleotides. The record is from Rfam. NCBI's taxonomy places the organism in Eukaryota, Metazoa, Chordata, Mammalia, Artiodactyla, Bovidae.